RNAcentral lists this ribosomal RNA (528 nucleotides) under uncultured bacterium. RNAcentral describes it as "partial 16S ribosomal RNA". It matches the Rfam family "Bacterial small subunit ribosomal RNA", at positions 355 to 874 of the family's 1533-position model. The record is from RNAcentral.
UGGGGAAUUUUGGACAAUGGGGGAAACCCUGAUCCAGCCAUCCCGCGUGUGCGAUGAAGGCCUUCGGGUUGUAAAGCACUUUUGGCAGGAAAGAAACGUCGCGGGUUAAUACCCCGCGAAACUGACGGUACCUGCAGAAUAAGCACCGGCUAACUACGUGCCAGCAGCCGCGGUAAUACGUAGGGUGCAAGCGUUAAUCGGAAUUACUGGGCGUAAAGCGUGCGCAGGCGGUUCGGAGAGAAAGAUGUGAAAUCCCAGAGCUUAACUUUGGAACUGCAUUUUUAACNACCGGGCUAGAGUGUGUCAGAGGGAGGUGGAAUUCCGCGUGUAGCAGUGAAAUGCGUAGAUAUGCGGAGGAACACCGAUGGCGAAGGCAGCCUCCUGGGAUAACACUGACGCUCAUGCACGAAAGCGUGGGGAGCAAAACAGGAUUAGAUACCCUGGUAGUCCACGCCCCUAAACGAUGUCAAUUAGCUGUUGGGGCCUUCGGGCCUUGGUAGCGCAGCUAACGCGUGAAGUUGACCGCCU